This 115-nucleotide non-coding RNA is filed under the name human gut metagenome. Its description in RNAcentral is "FMN riboswitch (RFN element)". It matches the Rfam family "FMN riboswitch aptamer (RFN element)". Rfam says of the family: The RFN element is a highly conserved domain that is found frequently in the 5'-untranslated regions of prokaryotic mRNAs that encode for flavin mononucleotide (FMN) biosynthesis and transport proteins. This element is a metabolite-dependent riboswitch that directly binds FMN in the absence of proteins. RNAcentral also lists the same sequence under 1 other name. The record is from RNAcentral.
AUUCUUCGGGGCGGGGUGAAAUUCCCCACCGGCAGUUAAAGCCUGCGAGCCUGUUAAAAACGGGUUGAUUUGGUGAAAUUCCAAAGCCGACGGUACAGUCCGGAUGGUAGAAGAA